This 314-nucleotide ribosomal RNA is filed under the name Bicosoecida sp. CB-2014. Its description in RNAcentral is "partial Bacterial large subunit ribosomal RNA". It matches the Rfam family "Bacterial large subunit ribosomal RNA", at positions 1120 to 1440 of the family's 2925-position model. Lineage: Eukaryota; Bigyra; Bicosoecida. The record is from RNAcentral.
CAUUCAAAGAGUGCGUAACAGCUCACUAGUCGAGAGUCCCUGCGCCGAAAAUGUCCGGGGCUAAAACUUACCACCGAAGCUACGGGCUUGCGUAAGCAAGCGGUAGGGGAGCGUCGUAAUCGGGCUGAAGUCGUACCGUAAGGAGCGGUGGACUGAUUACGAGUGAGAAUGUUGGCAUUAGUAGCGAGAUGUAGGUGAGAAUCCUACAGGCCGAAUAUCUAAGGUUUCCUCAGGAAGGCUCGUCCGCUGAGGGUUAGUCGGGACCUAAGCCGAGGCCGAAAGGCGUAGGCGAUGGACAACAGGUUGAUAUUCCU